GCCUGGAAAGCUCAGUUGGUUGCAGCAUGGUGCUGAUAAUGUCAAGGUUGCAGGUUCAAUCCCUGUGUGGGACA
This 74-nucleotide transfer RNA is filed under the name Podarcis lilfordi (Lilford's wall lizard). RNAcentral describes it as "tRNA.Ile". Lineage: Eukaryota; Metazoa; Chordata; Lepidosauria; Squamata; Lacertidae. The record is from RNAcentral.